UGGGGAAUCUUGCGCAAUGGGCGAAAGCCUGACGCAGCAACGCCGCGUGCGGGAUGAAGGCCUUCGGGUUGUAAACCGCUUUCAGCAGGGACGAAAUUGACGGUACCUGCAGAAGAAGCCCCGGCCAACUACGUGCCAGCAGCCGCGGUAACACGUAGGGGGCAAGCGUUGUCCGGAUUUAUUGGGCGUAAAGAGCUCGUAGGCGGUUCCGUCAGUCGGGUGUGAAAACUCUGGGCUCAACCCAGAGACGCCACCCGAUACUGCGGUGACUAGAGUCCGGUAGGGGAGCGUGGAAUUCCUGGUGUAGCGGUGAAAUGCGCAGAUAUCAGGAGGAACACCAACGGCGAAGGCAGCGCUCUGGGCCGGUACUGACGCUGAGGAGCGAAAGCGUGGGUAGCGAACAGGAUUAGAUACCCGCGUAGUCC
Molecule: ribosomal RNA, 425 nt
Filed under: uncultured bacterium
Lineage: Bacteria
Description: bacterial SSU rRNA
Rfam family: Bacterial small subunit ribosomal RNA
Source: RNAcentral